AGGAUGAACGCUGGCGGCGUGCCUAAUACAUGCAAGUCGAGCGGUAAGGCCCCUUCGGGGGUACACGAGCGGCGGACGGCUGAGUAACACGUAGGAACGUACCCCAAAGUGAGGGAUAAGCACCAGAAAUGGUGUCUAAUACCGCAUGUGCUCUUCGGAGGAAAGCUUCGGCGCUUUGGGAACGGCCUGCGCAUGAUUAGCUUGUUGGUGAGGUAAUGGCUCACCAAGGCGACGAUCAUUAGCUGGUCUGAGAGGAUGAUCAGCCAGACUGGGACUGAGAACGGCCCAGACUCCUACGGGAGGCAGCAGUAGGGAAUUUUCCACAAUGGGCGAAAGCCUGAUGGAGCAACGCCGCGUGCAGGAUGAAUGCCUUCGGGUUGUAAACUGCUUUCAGCAGGGACGAUUGUGACGGUACCUGCAGAAGAAGCACCGGCCAACUACGCGCCAGCAGCCGC
RNAcentral lists this ribosomal RNA (455 nucleotides) under uncultured bacterium. RNAcentral's name for it is "SSU rRNA". It matches the Rfam family "Bacterial small subunit ribosomal RNA", at positions 26 to 518 of the family's 1533-position model. The record is from RNAcentral.